Molecule: ribosomal RNA, 91 nt
Filed under: Salmonella enterica subsp. enterica serovar Infantis
Lineage: Bacteria; Pseudomonadati; Pseudomonadota; Gammaproteobacteria; Enterobacterales; Enterobacteriaceae
Also listed under: 4 other names
Source: RNAcentral
CCUGGCGGCAGUAGCGCGGUGGUCCCACCUGACCCCAUGCCGAACUCAGAAGUGAAACGCCGUAGCGCCGAUGGUAGUGUGGGGUCUCCCC